Nycticebus coucang (slow loris) is the source of this 129-nucleotide small nucleolar RNA. RefSeq annotates it as small nucleolar RNA SNORA11. The record is from RefSeq and is a predicted model, not a curated record. The transcript has a single exon. Lineage: Eukaryota; Metazoa; Chordata; Mammalia; Primates; Lorisidae.
AGGGUGUGCUCAGAGCAGGGGUCCUGAAGAAUGGCUCCUCUGUUUACAACAAACCCAACAGGAACCUGGGGUCAUUGCGGUGAGGGGCACAGAACUUGUGGCCUUCCUAUGAACAAAUGCCCUACAUGU